UAGGAUGGUCGCUCACCAAGUGAUGG
This 26-nucleotide non-coding RNA is filed under the name Mus musculus (house mouse). Lineage: Eukaryota; Metazoa; Chordata; Mammalia; Rodentia; Muridae. The record is from RNAcentral.